This 253-nucleotide ribosomal RNA is filed under the name uncultured microorganism. Its description in RNAcentral is "partial 16S ribosomal RNA". It matches the Rfam family "Bacterial small subunit ribosomal RNA", at positions 524 to 776 of the family's 1533-position model. The record is from RNAcentral.
UACGGAGGGGGCGAGCGUUGUUCGGAGUCACUGGGCGUAAAGCGCACGUAGGCGGUGCGGUAAGUCAGGGGUUAAAGGCUGCAGCUCAACUGCAGUAAGGCCUUUGAUACUAUCGCGCUAGAGUACCAGAGAGGAUGGCGGAAUUCCCGGUGUAGCGGUGAAAUGCGUAGAUACCGGGAGGAAGGCCGGUGGCGAAGGCGGCCUCCUGGGCCUGCACUGACGCUGAGGCGCGAAAGCGUGGGGAGCAAACAGG